This is a long non-coding RNA of Durio zibethinus, 1601 nucleotides long. RefSeq lists it as uncharacterized. Lineage: Eukaryota; Viridiplantae; Streptophyta; Magnoliopsida; Malvales; Malvaceae. The record is from RefSeq and is a predicted model, not a curated record.
UAAGAGAUGAUGGGGCUUUGGGCAUGAUUCAAAUAAAAUUUUAUCUAUUUUAAUAAUUAAUUAUAAUAAAAAAUUUUCUUAUUAAUAUAACAUCUGGUUCUAGAAUUAUUUUAAGACAUUAAAAUAUUGUAAUAUAAAAAUAGAUUUUUCUCUAAUAAUAGUAAUAAUAUAUUCGGACUGAAUUGAAACGGCUUAAAAAUCUAUAUCCAAGCCCGACCGAAGUUAAAACAAGCCUACAAGCUUGGGUCUUCUUUUGGCACCUUCAGUUCAAAGAAGAUACUUGCCACUUCCCCUCCUCCAUCUGUCGAAGGUUUCUCGGCUCGCAAAGUCGCAACCUCCUUCAUCUUUUGCUCUCUUCUUGUCUGCCCAGCCCCCAACCCCCCAACUCUCUGCUUCUCUCUCUGAUUCUUUUUCCUUUUCUUCCUAGUGCUCUCUCUUUCUCCUUUGCUUCCUUCAUUUUCCUUCCUCACUACUCAACACGGUGUUAAGAAUCCAUGUCAGUUCCAAUAGUGACGAGCUUAGGCGAUAUUGUGGUGGAUUUACACGCGGUCAAAUGUCCCUUAACCUGCAAAAGCUUCUUGAAGCUUUGCGAAAGGAUUUCACCGCGCAAACGGGGGACCCAACUGGGACAGGUUCAGGUGGAGACUCAGUGUACAAGCUCGGUUUGUCAGUGAUGAGAUUCAUCUUGAUUUAAAGCAUUCUAAGAGAGGCACUGUUGCAAUGGCUAGCGCUGGGCAGAAUCUUCAUUCUUCUCAAUUCUAUUUUACACUUCGUGAUGAUCUAGACUACCUUGAUGGGAAGCACACGAGUGGCUAUUUGCUAUGUUGCUUCAACUCUUAAGGUACCUAUGUCAAACACAUAUCCUGUCUCAAAUUGGAUAUUGGUGUGUGGUCUUGACCCUCCAAAUAUAAGGAAAUACUUGAAAAAAAAAAUUAGUGCAUCUGUUUCAGACACAUGCGAUGGACACUCCUGCUAUUUCUUAGCAAGGUCUUUGGGGAGAUUGCUGAAGGAUUUGAAACUUUAACCUGGACAAAUUGAUCUGCAUUAUUAAGGACAAUACCUGGAAUUAAGCAACAAGUUGGUCAGUACAUCAAAUGGUGUGAUACCUGUUGAAGGAACAAAGAUAAAACAAAGAUAAAACGUGUUUUCUAUCUUCGACUGUGGCAGCCAAUUCCUGUACCACAUCAGGCCUGGAAGUAAUUAGCAUGGAUUUUAUUGAAGGGUUACGCUUAUCUCAAAAACUUAGCUGUAUUAUGAUAAUAGGGGAUAAAUUCACCAAGUAUGGCCAUUUCCUUCCCCUAUCCCACCCUUAUUCAGCCAUGGAAGUAGCCUAAGAUAUAACUCAAUCAGGUUCACAAACUACAGGGGAAACCAAGGAUUGUCAUUUCUUGCAGAGUUAAGGUCCUCACCGGCUUGUUCUGGCAGGAGUUGAUGAAACUACUGGAACCACAGCUCCAUUAAGCAUAGCUGACCGCCUAGAAUUUGAUGGGUAGACUGAGAGGAUUAAUCAGUGUCUCGAGCAAUAUUUAAGAUGCAUAAGCAAAAUAUUCCGCGUUGCACGUAAAAAUUUUUUGUUUUGUUAUAUUUACUUAAUUGGUUUU